Molecule: unclassified non-coding RNA, 378 nt
Filed under: fungal sp.
Lineage: Eukaryota; Fungi
Description: partial internal transcribed spacer region
Rfam family: Eukaryotic small subunit ribosomal RNA (bases 1-46)
Source: RNAcentral
AAGUCGUAACAAGGUUUCCGUAGGUGAACCUGCGGAAGGAUCAUUAACACGUAUCCAACGUUAAACAACCCCGUGAACCUUCAGCCUGCUCUCGUAGCCCACGCGGCAACAGCAAUCCCGGUAAAUCAUUGACGACCAGUUUUGAUUCGGGACCUCUGUUACGAUGUGAGAAGUUACAGUUACGAUCGAGCGGUAGAGUCAGUGGCAUGGCGUCCCCAAGCAGAAUCCAGAGAAUGAAAGGAUCACUGGCUGCGCAAGGAUAACGCCUCACGGUUGCUAGAGGCCCUUACCUCACCCCACUACUAAUGACUAGCUUAGCGGUAACGCGCUGAGUAAAAAAAAACCGAACAACUGUUAACAAUGGAUAUCUUGGUUCUC